AGAGUUUGAUCAUGGCUCAGGAUGAACGCCGGCGGUGUGCCUAAUACAUGCAAGUCGUACGCACUGGCCCAACUGAUUGAUGGUGCUUGCACCUGAUUGACGAUGGAUCACCAGUGAGUGGCGGACGGGUGAGUAACACGUAGUAACCUGCCCCGGAGCGGGGGAUAACAUUUGGAAACAGAUGCUAAUACCGCAUAACAACAAAAGCCACAUGGCUUUUGUUUGAAAGAUGGCUUUGGCUAUCACUCUGGGAUGGACCUGCGGUGCAUUAGCUAGUUGGUAAGGUAACGGCUUACCAAGGCGAUGAUGCAUAGCCGAGUUGAGAGACUGAUCGGCCACAAUGGAACUGAGACACGGUCCAUACUCCUACGGGAGGCAGCAGUAGGGAAUCUUCCACAAUGGGCGCAAGCCUGAUGGAGCAACACCGCGUGAGUGAAGAAGGGUUUCGGCUCGUAAAGCUCUGUUGUUGGAGAAGAACGUGCGUGAGAGUAACUGUUCACGCAGUGACGGUAUCCAACCAGAAAGUCACGGCUAACUACGUGCCAGCAGCCGCGGUAAUACGUAGGUGGCAAGCGUUAUCCGGAUUUAUUGGGCGUAAAGCGAGCGCAGGCGGUUGCUUAGGUCUGAUGUGAAAGCCUUCGGCUUAACCGAAAGAAGUUGCAUCGGAAACCGGGCGACUUGAGUGCAGAAGAGGACAGUGGAACUCCAUGUGUAGCGGUGGAAUGCGUAGAUAUAUGGAAGAACACCAGUGGCGAAGGCGGCUGUCUGGUCUGCAACUGACGCUGAGGCUCGAAAGCAUGGGUAGCGAACAGGAUUAGAUACCCUGGUAGUCCAUGCCGUAAACGAUGAGUGCUAGGUGUUGGAGGGUUUCCGCCCUUCAGUGCCGGAGCUAACGCAUUAAGCACUCCGCCUGGGGAGUACGACCGCAAGGUUGAAACUCAAAGGAAUUGACGGGGGCCCGCACAAG
This 967-nucleotide ribosomal RNA is filed under the name Limosilactobacillus reuteri. RNAcentral describes it as "bacterial SSU rRNA". It matches the Rfam family "Bacterial small subunit ribosomal RNA", at positions 8 to 929 of the family's 1533-position model. Lineage: Bacteria; Bacillati; Bacillota; Bacilli; Lactobacillales; Lactobacillaceae. The record is from RNAcentral.